Blastosporella zonata is the source of this 81-nucleotide non-coding RNA. Lineage: Eukaryota; Fungi; Basidiomycota; Agaricomycetes; Agaricales; Lyophyllaceae. The record is from the annotation of a GenBank genome assembly.
GUCUCGAUAGCUCAGUGGUAGAGCAUGCGAUUGCAGUAAUAAGAUAUCGCAGGGUCAGGUGUUCGAACCACCUUCGGGACU